This is a long non-coding RNA of Suricata suricatta (meerkat), 890 nucleotides long. RefSeq lists it as uncharacterized. NCBI's taxonomy places the organism in Eukaryota, Metazoa, Chordata, Mammalia, Carnivora, Herpestidae. The transcript has 3 exons. The record is from RefSeq and is a predicted model, not a curated record.
ACUCUAGGUCCAGCUAAAACUCUACCUCCAGCCCCCAACAUGAAGUUCCAAGUGCAGCCUGGGGGACAUGGUAUACAGUGAGACUACUCAUUCCCUGACCCAAGACGCUUGACUUCCAGUAACAGCACCCAUGAUGACACCAGAUGGAACACGUACCUGACCAACGCCUUCAAAGGAUCAUUUUCUGGAUGGAAUUAAUGCCUUGGAAACAGCACAGACUCAAGCUGUGUUAUCCUACGCGGGUUCCUGAAGCCUUCCUCUGAGGAUGCUGCCUGCACGUCAGCCGGAGCUCCCUCCCCGGCCUCCCAAGCCCCAGGGCACUCUCCCUGGAAGCAGGGACGGUCCCUGAUGCAAGAGACUGGGAGGCCUUGCAGGAGCGUCUUACUCUGCAAAGUGCCCGGAAAGGAACUGUUUCACCUAAGUGGAUUCUCCAGACCACCCAGACUUGCCCUACAUCUCCACACCUGACAAAACGUCUAUGGAGAACUUUCCAAAUCUGUCUUAUUUAUGAUGGUGGCCCUUGAGAGGAAGAAGGGAAGCCCCAGUCGGGGUCCCCAGUUGUGUGAGCUCACUUGUGUCACUGCCUCAGACAUCAGAGCCCAUAUUACUGCCUCUGGGUCUCAUAAACUUGUCCCCUGCCAGGUCCCCUGGGUCCUACUGCUGGGUUAAUCUUCUUGAGUCAAAACUCUGGCCAUAGACCUCACUGCUCCAACCCCACGACACCCCAGCAACCGGUAGAACAGUGAAGGCAGUGGCCUGGCCACCAGGGCCCAAGCAGCCUCUGCAGUCUUUUCUCCCCUUUCUCCUUCCUGAGCCCUCCCCUGCAGGGGUCAGAUGUUCCUGACAUGGGCCAUGCCUUCAGGCCCACAGUCACCUCUUCCAGGAACAUC